This 603-nucleotide ribosomal RNA is filed under the name uncultured Rhodocyclaceae bacterium. Its description in RNAcentral is "bacterial SSU rRNA". It matches the Rfam family "Bacterial small subunit ribosomal RNA", at positions 917 to 1519 of the family's 1533-position model. Lineage: Bacteria; Pseudomonadati; Pseudomonadota; Betaproteobacteria; Rhodocyclales; Rhodocyclaceae. The record is from RNAcentral.
GGACCCGCACAAGCGGUGGAUGAUGUGGAUUAAUUCGAUGCAACGCGAAAAACCUUACCUACCCUUGACAUGUCCAGAAGCCUUGAGAGAUUUGGGUGUGCCCGAAAGGGAGCUGGAACACAGGUGCUGCAUGGCUGUCGUCAGCUCGUGUCGUGAGAUGUUGGGUUAAGUCCCGCAACGAGCGCAACCCUUGUCGUUAAUUGCCAUCAUUUAGUUGGGCACUUUAACGAGACUGCCGGUGACAAACCGGAGGAAGGUGGGGAUGACGUCAAGUCCUCAUGGCCCUUAUGGGUAGGGCUUCACACGUCAUACAAUGGUCGGUACAGAGGGUUGCCAAGCCGCGAGGUGGAGCCAAUCCCAGAAAGCCGAUCGUAGUCCGGAUUGCAGGCUGCAACUCGCCUGCAUGAAGUCGGAAUCGCUAGUAAUCGCGGAUCAGCAUGUCGCGGUGAAUACGUUCCCGGGUCUUGUACACACCGCCCGUCACACCAUGGGAGGGGGUUCUGCCAGAAGUGGGUAGCCUAACCGCAAGGAGGGCGCUUACCACGGCAGGGUUCAUGACUGGGGUGAAGUCGUAACAAGGUAGCCGUAGGGGAACCUGCGGCU